This is a long non-coding RNA of Rhincodon typus (whale shark), 572 nucleotides long. RefSeq lists it as uncharacterized. The transcript is spliced from 3 exons. Lineage: Eukaryota; Metazoa; Chordata; Chondrichthyes; Orectolobiformes; Rhincodontidae. The record is from RefSeq and is a predicted model, not a curated record.
CAGUGUACUGUGCACUAGCAAAUAAAGGGUGACCUGGUGACAGGACUCCUGCCUUUGUACAGUUAUUUCAGUGGUGAUGGGAGAAAACAGACACGCCUGAGGAACAUUUGCUUGCAACUGUCAUCUUGGAGUUGGGGGAAAUGAACCUUCAAGAAGUUCUGCAUUAACUUUGAGAGGUUUUCCAUUUGUUUCAUCGACCUAGCUACCUCUCAUGUUUUCCAUUUCGGAUGAAAGAUUUCCAAUGCCCAUUCUUUUUCAAAACACACCUCAUCGAUCUAAUUUACACCCCUCUGAAGCAUCUUGCGGCAUUUGUCAGUGUUAGAAGUGCUGGACAAAUGCAAAUUGCAGUUUCCUGCUGAGAUGAGAGUGACAGACUGCUCACAUUUGCCCUUUGUGAUAUCAUUUCAAUCCCUAAUGUGCGUCAGCUUUGUAAUAACCUUCAUUAGCAUCGAAUUAAAGGUCACACUGUGUCAUGGAAUCACACGCAGUGUAACUUUGACUGACAGUGCUCAGACUGACUUCACUUGGGACUGUUAACAGCCAUUACCAGAGGAUAUCUGCAUUCUGACUUG